GAUGAACGCUGGCGGCGUGCUUAACACAUGCAAGUCGUGCGCGAAGGUGGCUUCGGCCACCGGAGAGCGGCGAACGGGUGAGUAACACGUGGGUGAUCUGCCUGGGAGUGGGGGAUAACCUGGGGAAACUCGGGCUAAUACCGCAUACGUUGUCGAGGUUGCGACCUGGACAAGAAAGCUGGCCUCUAUUUAUAAGCUAGCACUCCCAGAGGAGCCCGCGGCUGAUUAGCUAGUUGGUGGGGUAAUGGCCCACCAAGGCGACGAUCAGUAGCCGGCCUGAGAGGGUGAUCGGCCACACUGGGGACUGAGACACGGCCCAGACUCCUACGGGAGGCAGCAGUGGGGAAUAUUGGACAAUGGGCGCAAGCCUGAUCCAGCAACGCCGCGUGGAGGACGAAGGUCUUCGGAUCGUAAACUCCUGUCAGGCGGGACGAAGGCUGCAGGGCAAAUAGUCCUGUAGCUUGACGGUACUGCCAGAGGAAGCCCCGGCUAACUCCGUGCCAGCAGCCGCGGUAAUACGGAGGGGGCGAGCGUUAUUCGGAAUUAUUGGGCGUAAAGGGCGCGUAGGCGGCCCGGUAAGUCAAAGGUGAAAUCCCGUCGGCUCAACUGAGGAACUGCCUUUGAAACUGUCGGGCUUGAGGCCGGGAGGGGUAGCGGAAUUCCCAGUGUAGCGGUGAAAUGCGUAGAUAUUGGGAGGAACACCGGUGGCGAAGGCGGCUACCUGGACCGGUUCUGACGCUGAUGCGCGAAA
RNAcentral lists this ribosomal RNA (751 nucleotides) under uncultured bacterium. RNAcentral describes it as "bacterial SSU rRNA". It matches the Rfam family "Bacterial small subunit ribosomal RNA", at positions 28 to 758 of the family's 1533-position model. The record is from RNAcentral.